This is a long non-coding RNA of Dioscorea cayenensis subsp. rotundata (Guinea yam), 1554 nucleotides long. RefSeq lists it as uncharacterized. The transcript is spliced from 6 exons. The record is from RefSeq and is a predicted model, not a curated record. NCBI's taxonomy places the organism in Eukaryota, Viridiplantae, Streptophyta, Magnoliopsida, Dioscoreales, Dioscoreaceae.
CUCUCUCUCUCUCUCUCUCUCUCUCUCUCUCUUUCGUUGAGAACCAGAGGCUCCAACAAUGGCUUUUCUCAGAGCUGAAACCCUAGAGCUUGGAUUCGGAGAUCCCACUCCUCCUCAUCUGCGGCUCAAAGUUGAUGUCUUUCAUCUGUUUUCAUUAAUAAAAAUCCUGCCUUUUUUUUUUGUUUUGGAUUGAUAAAGAUAUGGUCUUUGAUGGCUGACAGAAGAGAGUGAGCACACACCGGUUAACAACAUGAUGGUAUGUCGUUCCCGUUGCGUGCUCACUUCUCUUGCUGUCAGCUUUGUUUCCUUACUCUUUCCUUUCUUCACCUCCUUUCUUUCUUUCUUUCUUUCAUUCUCUUUUUGUGUGUAUGUAUAUAUGUGUAUAUGUUUUUAUCUAUAUAUGUUGUCAAGGAUGAAAGAUAUAAAGCAAUAACUGAUGGGAAAGGUCAUGGAGUAGAACCAUUUGAGGAGAACCAGAGACCAACACGCGUGCAGUCAUCAGUCUUUGUCUGGAUCUUUGAUCCAAUCCUUUCUUUUUUUUCUCUCUUUUAUCUUCUGUGUUUCUUUGCUUUGCUUUGCUUGCUUGCUUACACUUGCUGUUUUUUGUUAAGAUAUAUAGAUCUGAAGAGAUGGAGAGUUUAUAGCAAAAGGAAGGAAAAAGUCAGGCUUUUGAGAUGGUGCACGGUUUUCAAGCUCCUCUUUCAGGACUUCAUCGCUGUUUUGCAUGAUCCCAGACUUCUUUUCCUCAACCUCAACCUCAACCUUUUUAUUUCAUGGUGAUUUGUUUAUCUCCUCCUCCUCCUCCUUGAUCAUCAUCAUCAGUAGCAGCAGCAUCAUCAUCAUCUCCUUCUUCUUCUUCUUCUUGAGGUGACUGUGAUGAGCAUAUGGGGGAGCUCGGAGACCAUCAAAAGGCUGUUGAUAGUUGGCAUGCGCAUUCUAAUUAUCCCUCAGCUUCACACUUAUCUUCUCACCCAUCAAGGCAAUUAUACUGAGUGAUCUUGGGAAGUUUAUCUUACGAAAGAAGGGGCAUUUGAUUUAUUAUUAAAACAGGUACUGUGCACUUGGUGUAAACUAGGUCCUAGUGUGGAUUUCCUGUGGUGGGAGGAGCUGUAUUUUUCACCAUUCCAGAUUGCAUGGCAAAGAGAUUUUAUCGUGGUGUUAUAGUCCCUGAAAUAUUAUUUUGAGCGCAUGUGGCCGGAUUCUAUUGCCCUUGUGUCAGCUCGCCCUAUACAACAAAUCCCAAAGAGGAACACAUUCAAUCAAACAGAGGUAAAGAAAAAGUAAGAGGAAGAGAACACACAUACCAAUUGUUCAUACAUUCAAAGCCCAAGCUAAUGGAUGAUGAUUUCCUCUGUUGAAUCAAAGAAGAAGAAAGUUAAAAAGCUAGCAAAAUUUUCUUGUUGAUGCUUUUGCAAGAGAAUGAACAUGAAAUAAAAAUGAGGGAGAUUUUGAAUAUGUGAACAUUGAGCAAUGUAGUGUUGUACUUUAAAAGGAUAGCAUUUGGGAACAAAGUGGGGCCUUUUAUGUACCACAUAGAAGGUUUUAAAUGCUUUU